CUCGUUCUUGGUGAGCCUACUCAGUUCGAUCAAUUCUACAAUAUGGCCCUCAAGCAAGAAGGUGCUCAACUCAAGUGUGAGGCUUCUAAGAAGAGAAUCAGGGAUGCAGUUCAGUCUUCUUCUUCCUCACAAGUGGCAGCUAAGCAGCAGAAGUUCUACCUUCCUCCUCCUCCGUUUCGUCAGCCUUACCAGCAGAAGAACUCAGGUGGUCAUGGAUCUUCCCACGCACCCAAUCCAGCUAUCAGAACAAGUCAAAUUCUCAAGCUCCAAGGUCAAAUGCUCCUUAUCAUCGUCCGCUCUCAGAGGUGA
This 309-nucleotide ribosomal RNA is filed under the name Triticum aestivum (bread wheat). Its description in RNAcentral is "partial small subunit ribosomal RNA". The record is from RNAcentral. Lineage: Eukaryota; Viridiplantae; Streptophyta; Magnoliopsida; Poales; Poaceae.